UACAGGGGGUGCAAACGUUGCUCGGAAUUAUUGGGCGUAAAGCGCGCGUAGGCGGCUACUUAAGUCGGAUGUGAAAGCCCUUGGCUCAACUGAGGAAGUGCACCCGAAACUGAGUGGCUUGAGUACUAAAGAGGGUCGCGGAAUUCCCGGUGUAGAGGUGAAAUUCGUAGAUAUCGGGAGGAACACCGGUGGCGAAGGCGGAUCUCUGGGCCUUACCUGACGCUGAGGAGCGAAAGCAUGGGGAGCAAACAGG
This 253-nucleotide ribosomal RNA is filed under the name uncultured bacterium. RNAcentral describes it as "partial 16S ribosomal RNA". It matches the Rfam family "Bacterial small subunit ribosomal RNA", at positions 524 to 776 of the family's 1533-position model. The record is from RNAcentral.